CAACGGGUGAGGUAGACCAACAGGGAUUGCCUCAGUAACGGCGAGUGAAGCGGCAAAAGCUCAAAUUUUAAAGCUGGCAUCUCCGGUGUCCGCGUUGUAAUUUUGUGAGGCAUCUCCGGGUAGGGCGCCGGCCUAAGUUCCUUGGAACAGGACGUCAUAGAGGGUGAGAAUCCCGUGCUUGGCUGGCUGUCCCCGUCCAUGUGAGGUGUCUUCGACGAGUCGAGUUGUUUGGGAAUGCAGCUCAAAAUGGGUGGUAAAUUUCAUCUAAAGCUAAAUAUUGGUGGGAGACCGAUAGCGCACAAGUAGAGUGAUCGAAAGAUGAAAAGCACUUUGAAAAUAGAGUUAAAAAGUACGUGAAAUUGUUGAAAGGGAAGCGCUUGAGACCAGACUUCGGUGGGGAGUGAUCAGCCGUCCUUCUGGGCGGUGCACUUGCUCCCCUCCGGGCCAGCAUCGGUUGGGACGGCGGGAUAAAGGUCCCGGGAAUGUGGCUCCUUUCGGGGAGUGUUAUAGCCCGGGUGAAUGCCGCCAGCCCCGACCGAGGACCGCGCCUUCGGGCUAGGAUGCUUGGCAUAAUGGUCUUCAGCGACCCGUCUUGAAACACGGACCAAGGAGUCUAACAUCUAUGCGAGUGUUUGGGUGUCAAACCCUUACGCGAAAUGAAAGUGAACGGAGGUGGGAACCCGCAAGGGUGCACCAUCGACCGGUCCCGAAGUCUUCUGAAGGAUCUGAGUAGGAGCAUAGCUGUUGGGACCCGAAAGAUGGUGAACUAUGCCUGAAUAGGGUGAAGCCAGAGGAAACUCUGGUGGAGGCUCGCAGCGGUUCUGACGUGCAAAUCGAUCGUCAAAUUUGGGUAUAGGGGCGAAAGACUAAUCGAACCAUGCUUAAUGUG
This 889-nucleotide ribosomal RNA is filed under the name Morchella semilibera. Its description in RNAcentral is "partial 28S ribosomal RNA". It matches the Rfam family "Eukaryotic large subunit ribosomal RNA", at positions 44 to 953 of the family's 3401-position model. Lineage: Eukaryota; Fungi; Ascomycota; Pezizomycetes; Pezizales; Morchellaceae. The record is from RNAcentral.